RNAcentral lists this non-coding RNA (25 nucleotides) under Mus musculus (house mouse). The record is from RNAcentral. Lineage: Eukaryota; Metazoa; Chordata; Mammalia; Rodentia; Muridae.
UAUUGCCCAGGCGCUUGCAGGACUA